AGCAGCCGCGGUAAUUCCAGCUCCAAUAGCGUAUAUUAAAGUUGUUGCAGUUAAAAAGCUCGUAGUUGAAUUUCGGGGUCAGUAGGCUGGUCGUGCUACGGGUAUGUACUGGUCUUACUGAUUCCUCCUUCCUGAUGAACCGUAAUGCCAUUAAUUUGGUGUUGCGGGGAAUCUGGACUGUUACUUUGAAAAAAUUAGAGUGUUUAAAGCAGGCUAACGCUUGAAUACAUUAGCAUGGAAUAAUGAAAUAGGACGAUCGAUCCUAUUUUGUUGGUUUCUAGGAUUGACGUAAUGAUUAAUAGGGAUAGUUGGGGGCAUUAGUAUUCAAUUGUCAGAGGUGAAAUUCUUGGAUUUAUUGAAGACUAACUACUGCGAAAGCAUUUGCCAAGGAUGUUUUCAUUAAUCAAGAACGAAAGUUAGGGGAUCGAAGACGAUCAGAUACCGUCGUAGUCUUAACCAUAAACUAUGCCGACUAGGGAUCGGAUGAUGUUAAUUUUUUAAUGACUCAUUCGGCGCCUUA
Molecule: ribosomal RNA, 520 nt
Filed under: uncultured Glomus
Lineage: Eukaryota; Fungi; Glomeromycota; Glomeromycetes; Glomerales; Glomeraceae
Description: SSU rRNA
Rfam family: Eukaryotic small subunit ribosomal RNA
Source: RNAcentral